GAUCCUGGCUCAGGAUGAACGCUAGCUACAGGCUUAACACAUGCAAGUCGAGGGGAAACGAUAUUGGAAGCUUGCUUCUGAUAGGCGUCGACCGGCGCACGGGUGAGUAACGCGUAUCCAACCUGCCCAUCACUUGGGGAUAACCUUGUGAAAGUAAGACUAAUACCCAAUGACGUCUCUAGAAGACAUCUGAAAGAGAUUAAAGAGACUCGGUUACAGAUGAACAUGCGUUCCAUUAGCUGGUUGGCGGGGUAACGGCCCACCUAGUCUUCGAUGGAUAGGGGUUCUGAGAGGAAGGUCCCCCACAUUGGAACUGAGACACGGUCCAAACUCCUACGGGAGGCAGCAGUGAGGAAUAUUGGUCAAUGGGCGAGAGCCUGAACCAGCCAAGUAGCGUGAAGGAUGACUGCCCUAUGGGUUGUAAACUUCUUUUAUAAAGGAAUAAAGUCGGGUAUGGAUACCCGUUUGCAUGUACUUUAUGAAUAAGGAUCGGCUAACUCCGUG
This 504-nucleotide ribosomal RNA is filed under the name uncultured bacterium. RNAcentral describes it as "bacterial SSU rRNA". It matches the Rfam family "Bacterial small subunit ribosomal RNA", at positions 15 to 507 of the family's 1533-position model. The record is from RNAcentral.